RNAcentral lists this ribosomal RNA (265 nucleotides) under uncultured bacterium. RNAcentral's name for it is "partial 16S ribosomal RNA". It matches the Rfam family "Bacterial small subunit ribosomal RNA", at positions 1112 to 1374 of the family's 1533-position model. The record is from RNAcentral.
AUGUUGCCAGCACGUUAUGGUGGGACGUCGUGGGACGUGCCGGGUUAACGUCGGAGGAAGGUGGGAUGACGUCAAAUCAUCAUGCCCUUAUGUCUUGGGCUUCACGCAUGCUACAAUGGCUGGUACAGAGGUAGCCAACCGCGAGGCGAGCUAAUCCGUAAACCUGCCUCAGUUCAGAUUGCAGGCUGCAACUCGCCUGCAUGAAGCGGAAUCGCUAGUAAUCGCAGGUCAGCAUACUGCGGUGAAUCCGUUCCAGUCGUGGAGG